UAUAAAGAGCAAAUAAAAUUACAUAACUGAACCAAAAUAAUUCAAUAGCAUUGUUACUGUAAUAUAAAAGAAAACCAACACUUUGAAACAGUACACUCAUUCAACCAAACUUUACCACUCGGCUACACAUAUUAGAAAAAUGGAAGGCAGUGCAAAGUAGAAAUAGGAAUCCAUUGUUCUCAAAAUGUUUUGUAAAUAAAAGUUUCAAAUGGCAUUCAAGAUACUUAAAUUUUAAGUUAAACAGAUGUUAAUCAAAUGUGCAAGAAACCGUUAACAGUACACUGGAGUAUAAAAUUGAGAAGUGAAGGACAUGUUGUGAUGAAACAUUAAAAGAAAUGUAAUCUUUUUAUCACAUAAAUGCAUUCCUUCUAACAAUCUACUAACAACAAUGUAAAUUCAAAAAACUCGCUGUAUAAAAACAUGAAAAAAAUUGUGUGUGAUCCCACAGUGGUUCAGGUUAUGUUGACUUCUCAGUCUCAGUCAUCUCUACAAGAAAACAAACUGCAAGAAAUGACAAACAGGCUGGAGAUGCUGAACCAGUCCCAUCACCUCCUGUUCACCCAGUAUCCUGCUCUGAACCACUACUGUCCCAUCAACAACUCUUCCACUGGUGAGAGAAAGUGCAGACCAUGUUUGAUUGACUGGACACUUCAAGGAGAGAAAUGUUUCUACUUCAGUGAGGAUAGAGCUGACUGGAUCAGUAGUCAGUACCUCUGCAUGUCACUGGGAGGCGCUGUGGCUACAAUCAAGACAGAGGAGGAGCAGGUGAUAAUAGACAUCUCUCCCUCUCAAAAAAAGAUUUAGUUGCAUUCAGUCACACAUUCAGUGGAAACCAUCUUGGGUCUCACAGCUUAAACAUAUUUUCAUAUAUCUUUAUAAGUGGGUUAUUGGCGCUCUGUUGGCAUUUUAUGCAUCUUCUGCACAUAUUUGGGGUUACUGUGCAAUAAGGUGUUCCAGAGUUUAUAUAUGCACAGGCUCCGCAUGUGCAUAUAUAGCCGUGCACAUAUACAUGCAUAGCAGCAGCAGUGAGUUUGGUUAAGAAUAGCUUUACGACAACUAAAAGGAGCGGAGGAAGCUUAAGGUCAUUGGAGGUUUAGUCUUUCAUUAAAUUUACAGCUCAUGUAACACAGAUUACAUCUGGAAUUUAUUAUCAUAAGCCAAGUUAAAGCAGAACUACUGAAGAAAAUUAAUUUGACCUCGAUGUUAUCAACUUUUUUCUCAGGAGUUUCUAUUUAAAAUGGCCCAGAGCAGGAACCAGGGAGACUCAUACUGGCUCGGUCUGAGGAGCAGCGCUGUGGACGGGACCUGGCAGUGGAGUGACGGCACCCCGCUGGAGAACGGACCACAGUUUUGGGAACAUGAGCCAGACGUCACAGAAGAGAGGAAGGAGCUCUGCGGUCGACUCACACCAGGAGACAAUUACAGGAAGAGCUGGUUCACCUCCAGCUGUUCUGGUCAGCUGAGGAGAAUCUGUGAGCGCAGACAAGCUUCCCUACAAUGACCAGAGUCAACGGCUUUCUUUUAUUAUUAUUAUUAUAUAUUUUUUUUUAAUUUACCUCCUAAAUCUUUUCUCUUGUAUAUUAAGGUGGUUUAACAUAGAAAACAAUAUAUUAGGGAUCAGUCGUAUUGUCCCACAUUUUCUGUCACUGUAUAAAGACGUAGAAAAUCCCUAGAAGCUAGAAGCAAAUAUUAGGAUCAUGUUUACAGGACUAAUUAGAGAACAGUGACUUUUUUUCAAAGAUGUUUUUUGUUACUCACUCAUUUUGAGCACUUGUUUAAACCCUACUUAUGCUUUCUACUUUUAUUUUUUUUAAUGGUGGAUUUUAUUUGUAAUUGGUCCUCAAAUUUUAUUUUUCUAUCUUUAUGAUUUUCAUAGUUUAGUAAUUUCAUUCUUCAUUUUGUAUCUGAAUUGUAUCUUUUGGCUGA
Long non-coding RNA from Xiphophorus hellerii (green swordtail), 1926 nucleotides. RefSeq lists it as uncharacterized. The transcript has 3 exons. Lineage: Eukaryota; Metazoa; Chordata; Actinopteri; Cyprinodontiformes; Poeciliidae. The record is from RefSeq and is a predicted model, not a curated record.